Molecule: ribosomal RNA, 505 nt
Filed under: uncultured bacterium
Lineage: Bacteria
Description: bacterial SSU rRNA
Rfam family: Bacterial small subunit ribosomal RNA
Source: RNAcentral
UUCUGGCUCAGGAUGAACGCUAGCGACAGGCCAACACAUGCAAGUCGAGGGGCAGCACAAGGAGUAAUCUGAGGUGGCGACCGGCGCACGGGUGAGUAACACGUAUGCAACCUGGCUGUAAGAGGGGAAUAACCCGGAGAAAUCCGGACUAAUACCGCAUAAUACGUUAGAAUCCGCAUGGAUUUUAAGUUAAACAUUUAUGGCUUACAGAUGGGCAUGCGUAUGAUUAGCUGGUUGGAGAGGUAACGGCUCCCCAAGGCAACGAUCAUUAGGGGUUCUGAGAGGAAGGUCCCCCACACUGGUACUGAGACACGGACCAGACUCCUACGGGAGGCAGCAGUGAGGAAUAUUGGUCAAUGGACGCAAGUCUGAACCAGCCCAAGUCGCGUGAAGGAAGAAUGUCCUAUGGAUUGUAAACUUCUUUGAAGGGAAUAAAGUACGGUACGUGUACCGUUUUGUAUGUACCCUUCGAAUAAGGAUCGGCUAACUCCGUGCCAGCCGCUGC